This 400-nucleotide ribosomal RNA is filed under the name uncultured bacterium. RNAcentral's name for it is "bacterial SSU rRNA". It matches the Rfam family "Bacterial small subunit ribosomal RNA", at positions 355 to 752 of the family's 1533-position model. The record is from RNAcentral.
UAGGGAAUAUUGGGCAAUGGGCGAGAGCCUGACCCAGCCAUGCCGCGUGGAGGAAGACGGCCCUCUGGGUUGUAAACUCCUUUUAUCGGGGAAGAACGGCACUCUUGCGAGGGUGUGUGACGGUACUCGAGGAAUAAGCACCGGCUAACUCCGUGCCAGCAGCCGCGGUAAUACGGAGGGUGCAAGCGUUGUCCGGAUUUAUUGGGUUUAAAGGGUGCGUAGGUGGUCUGAUAAGUCUGGUUUGAAAGUUGGUCGCUUAACGAUCAAGGGUGGCUGGAUACUGUUGGACUUGAAUGGGGUGGCGGUAGCCGGAAUGGGUUGUGUAGCGGUGAAAUGCAUAGAGAUGACCCGGAACACCGAUUGCGAAGGCAGGCUACUACGCCUUAAUUGACACUGAGGC